GGGUUGUGAGGUUAAGCGACUAAGCGUACACGGUGGAUGCCCUGGCAGUCAGAGGCGAUGAAGGACGUGCUAAUCUGCGAUAAGCGUCGGUAAGGUGAUAUGAACCGUUAUAACCGGCGAUUUCCGAAUGGGGAAACCCAGUGUGUUUCGGCACACUAUCAUUAACUGAAUCCAUAGGUUAAUGAGGCGAACCGGGGGAACUGAAACAUCUAAGUACCCCGAGGAAAAGAAAUCAACCGAGAUUCCCCCAGUAGCGGCGAGCGAACGGGGAGGAGCCCAGAGCCUGAAUCAGUGUGUGUGUUAGUGGAAGCGUCUGGAAAGGCGUGCGAUACAGGGUGACAGCCCCGUACACAAAAAUGCACAUAUUGUGAGCUCGAUGAGUAGGGCGGGACACGUGGUAUCCUGUCUGAAUAUGGGGGGACCAUCCUCCAAGGCUAAAUACUCCUGACUGACCGAUAGUGAACCAGUACCGUGAGGGAAAGGCGAAAAGAACCCCGGCGAGGGGAGUGAAAAAGAACCUGAAACCGUGUACGUACAAGCAGUGGGAGCCUCUUUAUGGGGUGACUGCGUACCUUUUGUAUAAUGGGUCAGCGACUUAUAUUCUGUAGCAAGGUUAACCGAAUAGGGGAGCCGAAGGGAAACCGAGUCUUAACUGGGCGUUAAGUUGCAGGGUAUAGACCCGAAACCCGGUGAUCUAGCCAUGGGCAGGUUGAAGGUUGGGUAACACUAACUGGAGGACCGAACCGACUAAUGUUGAAAAAUUAGCGGAUGACUUGUGGCUGGGGGUGAAAGGCCAAUCAAACCGGGAGAUAGCUGGUUCUCCCCGAAAGCUAUUUAGGUAGCGCCUCGUGAAUUCAUCUCCGGGGGUAGAGCACUGUUUCGGCAAGGGGGUCAUCCCGACUUACCAACCCGAUGCAAACUGCGAAUACCGGAGAAUGUUAUCACGGGAGACACACGGCGGGUGCUAACGUCCGUCGUGAAGAGGGAAACAACCCAGACCGCCAGCUAAGGUCCCAAAGUCAUGGUUAAGUGGGAAACGAUGUGGGAAGGCCCAGACAGCCAGGAUGUUGGCUUAGAAGCAGCCAUCAUUUAAAGAAAGCGUAAUAGCUCACUGGUCGAGUCGGCCUGCGCGGAAGAUGUAACGGGGCUAAACCAUGCACCGAAGCUGCGGCAGCGACACUAUGUGUUGUUGGGUAGGGGAGCGUUCUGUAAGCCUGUGAAGGUGGCCUGUGAGGGUUGCUGGAGGUAUCAGAAGUGCGAAUGCUGACAUAAGUAACGAUAAAGCGGGUGAAAAGCCCGCUCGCCGGAAGACCAAGGGUUCCUGUCCAACGUUAAUCGGGGCAGGGUGAGUCGACCCCUAAGGCGAGGCCGAAAGGCGUAGUCGAUGGGAAACAGGUUAAUAUUCCUGUACUUGGUGUUACUGCGAAGGGGGGACGGAGAAGGCUAUGUUGGCCGGGCGACGGUUGUCCCGGUUUAAGCGUGUAGGCUGGUUUUCCAGGCAAAUCCGGAAAACCAAGGCUGAGGCGUGAUGA
Molecule: ribosomal RNA, 1532 nt
Filed under: Escherichia coli
Lineage: Bacteria; Pseudomonadati; Pseudomonadota; Gammaproteobacteria; Enterobacterales; Enterobacteriaceae
Description: partial 23S ribosomal RNA
Rfam family: Bacterial large subunit ribosomal RNA
Source: RNAcentral